Hipposideros armiger (great roundleaf bat) is the source of this 2881-nucleotide RNA transcript. RefSeq lists it as uncharacterized. NCBI's taxonomy places the organism in Eukaryota, Metazoa, Chordata, Mammalia, Chiroptera, Hipposideridae. The transcript is spliced from 2 exons. The record is from RefSeq and is a predicted model, not a curated record.
UCCGAACCGGGGUCCUCUGGCGUCCCAGGCCAGCUCUUAACCAAUGUGCCACUCGGCUGGCCUUCAAGGUGACUUUUCAAUUCACAGCUUUUGCAAGAAAAAUGACAUCACCCAACACGAGCCUUCCGGAAAACCAGGGCCGGGAGGUCCCGGCAGCUAAAGAGCCAGCUCCAAUCUGCCCUGCAGUCCACCAGGAGCAGAGCUGAUCCCCCCACAGCCUGACCGUGGCAGUCACAGCUUGUUAAAGGACAGAGGAAACUGAGUGAAGAGCCCCGGGGGCUCUUCAGACUUCCAGACCUCCCACUGGAAGGAGCAUCUUGUCCACAGGGGUAGGCGUGGGGGAAGGAAAUCACAGGAGCCAAAAUGCAAACAAGCGCAGGGCCAGCGCCAGGGACAACGCCCAGCCCAGGACCAGCACCUGGGGACAACACCCAUGCAUCCAUACAAUUCUGCAUGUAUACAUAAACGAGAUCUUUAUUUGGUUCUAAAACCACAGCCUUUCUUCCUUUCCAUUCUGUGGCUUACACUGUGCCUCUGCCACCGGUGCACGCAGCAGCACACGUGCCCUCCAAGAAAACCCAUGCACACGGCGUGCCAUCCUUCCCGACAUACUCUCAGCAUCUGCAGUAACUGCACAAGCCCAGCUGUGUGCAGCCUGGGCACACACAGCAAGCUGACCGCUGGCUUACUGCCACUCACACCACCUUGCCUCCCGCGGUCAGCAGGACCUCCCUGGCGGGCAGCCUCCGCCUGGCCUGUGCAGCCCAGAGGCACACUUGGACACUCGCUGCCUGAGCGAUGCUUGGUGUCCAUCUGUAAUGCAGUGAGGAUUUGCAUGCAGCUACUCUCUCUUGAGGGCGUUCCCAUGGCCCCACCUUCCUGCCACCACAGGCAGGGCUGCACCUGCGUCACUGCGUGUGCGUCAGGUAUGCACGCUUCUUCUGCGGGAUGUUUACUUCUGCCAAGUGCUCUCCAUGCCGUCCUUCUGGGCAUUUCUAACAACAGGAGCACAUUUUCCUUUGAUGGGUUUUGCUUUUGGUGUCAAAUCUAUGAACUCUGUCUAACUCCAGGUUACUAAGACUCUCCUAUGUUUUUAUCUAAAGGUUUUAUUGUUAAUAUUUUAUUUUUAGACCCAUGACCGAUUUUGUGUUAAAUUUUGCAUAAGUUUUAGAUUGAUUCUUUUUUUUUUUUUGCAUAGGAAUGUCCAGUUGCUGCAAACUCUUUGUCUUUUCUCUCUCGACUGCCUCUGCACUUCUGUCAAACACCCAUCAGCAGUAUUUGUGUGGGUCCCUUCUGUGCUCUCUAUUCUGUCUGUCCCGUUGGUCUGCUCGGAUACAUCCCCCUUCACCAAAACCCCGCUGCCUUGAUUACUGCAGCUCGAGGUGAAAAAGCAGAAAGGGAGAGGCAGAUAAUGUGUGACAUAAACAGUUAACCUCGACGCAUCGACCUUAGGUGAUGCUAAAUCGAGCAAUGGGAAGUCGUUGAGUCAUCUGGUUGGCCUUUCCACUGCAAAAUGCAAGUUCCUGACUUCAGACAGCAUCCCCACCCAUAUUAACCCAUGCCAGUUCACUGGGUCCCUAGCAUCUUUUAAAAAAAUUAUUUAUGUAUUUUUAAAGUUACAAGUAAUAAAUUAAUAGUGUCAUCAUUAAAUAUUUAAACAAUUAGAGUAAAACAGAAACACUUCAAAGGUGGCCUCCACAUCUGGAUUCUUUCCACCCUCCAGGCGGGCCUCUGAGGAUGGUCGUUCAGGCCUGCUGUGCUGACUCUUCUCUGUACAUGUAUGCAACAGUUAGUAUGAACCACGUGUCUAUGUACACACACGCAGUUUUCCCAUCCCAGUAAGACACACAUCCUGUCCUGGGACAUGGCUUCGUCAUCGUCCAUGGAGGAAGCAGAGCUGCCCUGCUGUUUUCAUCGGCACACAGUGCUCCAUGUCACACAAUUACCUGAACUUCACUUGCUGAGUUAGGCUUCCAGCUGGUGGCUCUCGGCUCCACCUGUGCCGGCCGCUGAACUCCAGGGUGGGAAGCCCACAACUACACUCCCGGACACUCGCUUCUGGCCAGGCCCACCCAUGGGGCGCACUAGGAGUUACAAGUGGGGGGAAAGGAGGAGCCAUGCUUUCUGCUUCUGGCAGUGCUCCCUGCUGGGGGACAGUGCCUGCAGGGGACAGCAUGGCCCUGGCCUGGGUGGGAGUCCUGCUCCCCGGCCUUCCUUCAGAACGGCAGUGGCUGUGGGCUCCUGGGUGCUGGGCGCCCCUCAGCUUGGGUAGUGCCACCUCCUGCGUCUCUCUCCUCCAGCCCUUCCAGCCUUUUAAUGACCAAGUUCCCCACUAGAUUACUCUCUGCUUGUCACAUCUGAGGGCGUCCGUCCUCAGGAGUGGACACUGGCACACAGUGGCCAUUCUCCUUCUUCUGGAUAUUGACGUUGUUUCCAAUUCUUUUCUGAUACAAGCAAUGAGGUAAUGAACAUCCUUCUGUGUACUUCCUCGGGACAGACACCCAAAACCAGAAUUGCUAAUAAAAACACACAGGUGUCCUAAAUUUUGAUAGAUACUGCAAGGUGUCCUCCAGUGAGCUAGUAUAAAUUUGUAUUCCUAUCUUCACUGGAUGCUAAUACCAAGUUCCCUAAACUCUCACCAACCAUAAACAAUGAGUCUUUAAAAUUUUAACUGAUGAACCAAAGGCAAUGUAUUCUUGUUGCUUGAAUGUGCAUUUUCUGAGGACCAGUAGAACUGAGGGCCUUGCAAAGUCUCUUGGCCAGUUAUAUUUCUCUCGUGUGCACCAGGACUUCAUAUUCAUUGUCUAGCUCAGGGGUUGGCAAACUUUUGAGAUGGAAGAGCCGCCAGGGGGCAGCAAACUGCGACUCGUGAACUGUCACU